UACGUAGGGUCCGAGCGUUGUCCGGAAUUAUUGGGCGUAAAGGGCUCGUAGGCGGUCCGUCACGUCGGGAGUGAAAACUCAGGGCUCAACCCUGAGCGUGCUUCGGAUACGGGCGGACUAGAGGUAUGCAGGGGAGAACGGAAUUCCUGGUGUAGCGGUGGAAUGCGCAGAUAUCAGGAGGAACACCGGUGGCGAAGGCGGUUCUCUGGGCAUUACCUGACGCUGAGGAGCGAAAGCAUGGGGAGCGAACAGG
This 253-nucleotide ribosomal RNA is filed under the name uncultured bacterium. RNAcentral's name for it is "partial 16S ribosomal RNA". It matches the Rfam family "Bacterial small subunit ribosomal RNA", at positions 524 to 776 of the family's 1533-position model. The record is from RNAcentral.